RNAcentral lists this unclassified non-coding RNA (515 nucleotides) under plant metagenome. RNAcentral's name for it is "partial contains 5.8S ribosomal RNA, internal transcribed spacer 2, and large subunit ribosomal RNA". The stretch from base 1 to 105 matches the Rfam family "5.8S ribosomal RNA", at positions 50 to 154 of the family's 154-position model. The record is from RNAcentral.
AAACUGCGAUACGUAAUGUGAAUUGCAGAACUCCGUGAAUCAUCAAACAUUUGAACGCACACUGCGCCUGCGGGGAAAUCCGCAGGCAUGCCUGUUUGAGCACGGUUUCUCAUCUUUCAUUCCUUCUCUCUUGCUUCUCAGUAGGCAGGCGGAGCGGAGUGGACAUUGAGGGUCAAUGAAGAAAUUGAAGCAUUGUCCCUUCAAAGAGAUGGCAGGAGAGAGCAGCACCUUUACUCUGAGGUAUAAUGCAAGUGGCGCAAUGAGGCGUUGCGAAGCUGGAAGGCAAAGGAGCAGCAGGAGGAAUCCACAAGGAGAGAAACUUGCUGAACCAAGCCCCCCAGAGGGAGCAAUCAGCCGAUGUCACCAGCAUUUGCCUUGAGAGGGUUAGAAGGGAAGCCUCACCAAAAGGAAAGAGGGAGGCAACACAGCCUCGAAACCAAGGUCACUGGGGAAAGAAAGCUCUCCAAACCGUACCUCGAUCUCAAAUCAGGCAAGAGAACCCGCUGAAUUUAAGC